AUAACGGUGUUGGCCUGGAACUGUCGAUGGUUGGGGUUGACCUCGACAGUGGGUGUAUUACGGGACCUUAUUAGGUCGUACAACCCAGCAGUGGUGUUCCUUUGUGAAACAAAGAAGAAGGCAAGAGCAAUGGAGAAAAUAAAAUGGAGCCUGGGUUUCAAGUGUGGUGUGGCUGUGGACAGCGAGGGGUUAAUUGGUGGACUGGCUUUGUGGUGGAGAGACCAUGUGAAUGUUACGGUGAGGCCCUGGUGCCAAUAUUUCAUUGAUGUUGAGUUGACUGUGCAUGAUAAAACCUGUAGAUUCACUGGAUUCUACGGGGAUCCUAGGACAGAGUUACGCAAGAAGUCUUGGGUUGCCAUCUGGUUUCUACGUGCUCAAGACAAUCUCCCAUGGAUAUGUGUGGGGGACUUCAAUGAGGCGCUCUUUCAAUCGGAUCAGAUUGGUGGGAACCCGAGAGGCUUUACACAAAUGGAGGAUUUCCGUGAUUGCCUAGCUGACUGUGGGCUUGCGGACCUAGGCUUCUCAAGCUACAUGUACACGGGGGAUAACAAAAGAGACGACGGGGAGAAUAUCUAG
Molecule: ribosomal RNA, 576 nt
Filed under: Triticum aestivum (bread wheat)
Lineage: Eukaryota; Viridiplantae; Streptophyta; Magnoliopsida; Poales; Poaceae
Description: partial small subunit ribosomal RNA
Source: RNAcentral